This 269-nucleotide ribosomal RNA is filed under the name uncultured prokaryote. RNAcentral's name for it is "partial 16S ribosomal RNA". It matches the Rfam family "Bacterial small subunit ribosomal RNA", at positions 524 to 792 of the family's 1533-position model. The record is from RNAcentral.
UACGUAGGGGGCAAGCGUUAUCCGGAUUUACUGGGUGUAAAGGGAGCGCAGACGGAACUGCAAGUCUGAUGUGAAAGCCCGGGGCUCAACCGCGGGACUGCAUUGGAAACUGUAGAUCUGGAGUGCCGGAGGGGCAAGCGGAAUUCCUGGUGUAGCGGUGAAAUGCGUAGAUAUCAGGAGGAACACCGGCGGCGAAGUCGGCUUGCUGGACGGCAACUGACGUUGAGGCUCGAAAGCGUGAGGAGCAAACAGGAUUAGAUACCCUGGUA